Long non-coding RNA from Mandrillus leucophaeus (drill), 1122 nucleotides. RefSeq lists it as uncharacterized. NCBI's taxonomy places the organism in Eukaryota, Metazoa, Chordata, Mammalia, Primates, Cercopithecidae. The transcript is spliced from 3 exons. The record is from RefSeq and is a predicted model, not a curated record.
UGUGUGAUCUUUUAGCUUUUUGACAUUUAAAGUCAUGUCAUCAUCAAGUAAGUCUGUUCUUCCGAUUAUGAACAAUUAUACUUAUUUAUUGAAAGUAAUCUUGAGCCUGUCUGAAAAUAAGUGAAAGGACACUACCAAUUCCUUCUGGAUCACCCUGCUUUUGGGUGGGAAGAAAUUCACCGUCUCAGAGAUGCACUCUCCACACUCGUAGUAACUGGCAUUAUAUUCAGACAUCUUUAAUGGUGUAACUGGUUGAUUCUUUUCAUUUAUGGCUUGUAUUCACGUGUUUGUCUUUCUGCCCCGGUGCCUGCCAUAUAUAAAUGAAUUUUAAGCCAUUUAAAAUAUGCUGAAUGGUUCUUCUUGGCUUUGUUUCCCACAGAUACAGGCCAGGGGGCAAACCUCCAGCUUGCAGCACUCACUUUGCAGAUCCAGUGCGAAUUAUUUGUAUUGACACUGUCUGCUCUCUCCGCUUUCUCCUUGAAAUGACAAGGAACUGAGUACAGUGGACACUGGCUUCUGUGUCCCCCGCUCCCCCCAAGCCAUGGGCUGCUACAUCAAAGGUCUGCAGUGGGCUGCCCUUCCCAUAAUAUUUCAAUUUAAGCACCGACUCACUUCCGUGGAAUCACAUCUCAUUCACGCUGUGGCCGUUGCAAGAGACAGGGAUCAUUAUGGAGCAAGCACUUAGGAAAAACAGAUUACACCCUGGCCCCGAGCAGCCAGGUUGUACCCCAGAUGCUGCAGGGACAUGGUGCCCGCUCUGGAGAAUGAGCAGCUUCCACAGUGCCCAGGAGCCAGAGUUUCCAACCCAGACUCAGGAGCGAAAGUCUAUCUUUUCCGUUUCUGGGACCUGGAAGUAUUUGCACGACUUUCUGGGCCUCAGGUAUCCCAUUGCCCACCAGGAAUUACCUUCCUCCAGGAUCAUGGUCAAGAUGACCUGAGAUGGUGAUGCUUAGCCUGCGGUUGCUAUUUUUAGUUCUCCACAUUCCUAGAAGGCAUGCAGUUGAGGUUCAUGACAGUAUUCUCUCAACGUGUGAUUCAAAGACAGAGACCGUUUCCCACCCAUCAGUUCUCACACUGCCCCAUUCUGCAGCUUCACCAUCCCUGCACUAAGAAGGCAGGCCC